This 428-nucleotide long non-coding RNA is filed under the name Cricetulus griseus (Chinese hamster). RNAcentral's name for it is "lncRNA (ENSCGRG00000026545.1)". Lineage: Eukaryota; Metazoa; Chordata; Mammalia; Rodentia; Cricetidae. The record is from RNAcentral.
ACGGAGUGGCCGUCUGCAUGAAUCACUCCUCACAGAAAGGAGUCACAUGCCUGUCUUGGGAAAUUUGCAGCCUCACGCUCACUCCCAGAGGGACAAAGGAUAAUGACUUCAUGUCGCUGGCUGCUCACUCACUAUGCUCCUCAAGCACAGGUUUUCUUUUGAAGGAAAAGCUGCCUCGUCUUUUUAAAGGACAUCACAAGACUCUUGGUGACACGAUUCAGCUCUGGCAUCCGCCACAAAGACAUUUGUGUGUCCUUCUGGGGCUUGGAGCCAGGCUUCCAGCCAGCACAAACUUUCUGCCCGUCUUCCACAUGAAGGGCAGAGCUCCUGCUUCUGCCAGGAAUGAAGAUGGCCACUGCUGCUGCCCCAAGCCUCCACAGCAGCUAGAAAGCAAACUUCCAAUUAAGAGCUUGAUUAUAGCCACCUGA